AACGCUGGCGGCGUGCCUAAUACAUGCAAGUCGAACGAACUCUGGUAUUGAUUGGUGCUUGCAUCAUGAUUUACAUUUGAGUGAGUGGCGAACUGGUGAGUAACACGUGGGAAACCUGCCCAGAAGCGGGGGAUAACACCUGGAAACAGAUGCUAAUACCGCAUAACAACUUGGACCGCAUGGUCCGAGUUUGAAAGAUGGCUUCGGCUAUCACUUUUGGAUGGUCCCGCGGCGUAUUAGCUAGAUGGUGAGGUAAUGGCUCACCAUGGCAAUGAUACGUAGCCGACCUGAGAGGGUAAUCGGCCACAUUGGGACUGAGACACGGCCCA
Molecule: ribosomal RNA, 329 nt
Filed under: Lactiplantibacillus plantarum
Lineage: Bacteria; Bacillati; Bacillota; Bacilli; Lactobacillales; Lactobacillaceae
Description: bacterial SSU rRNA
Rfam family: Bacterial small subunit ribosomal RNA
Source: RNAcentral